RNAcentral lists this ribosomal RNA (2841 nucleotides) under human metagenome. RNAcentral's name for it is "bacterial LSU rRNA". It matches the Rfam family "Bacterial large subunit ribosomal RNA". The record is from RNAcentral.
CAAAGAGCAUAAGGUGAAUGCCUUGGUGAUUAGAGCCGAAGAAGGACGUGGCAAGCUGCGAAAAGCUAUGAUAAGGAGCAAACAUCCGCAAUAGUCAUAGAUCUCCGAAUGAGGAAACUCACUUAAUAGAGAUAUUAAGUAUCCAUUGCUGAAUACAUAGGCAAUAGGAAGGGAACCCACCGAACUGAAACAUCUAAGUAAGUGGAGGAAAAGAAAGAAACAUCGAUUCCCAAAGUAGCGGCGAGCGAAAUGGGAGGAGGCCAAACCGAAUAAGGAAACUUAAUCGGGGUGAGGGAAGCUAACAAUAUGAUUGAGGUAUCGCAAAGGAAAUACUUGGGAAAGUAUACCAAAGAAGGUAAGAGUCCUGUACUUGAAGCGAGAAGACACAUAAGCUUUACCCGAGUAUCGUAGGACACGAGGAACCCUGCGAGAAAGAUGGGGGACCACCCCCAAAGCCUAAAUACUACUAAUCAACCGAUAGAAAAUAGUACCGUGAGGGAAAGGUGAAAAGAACCCCGGGAGGGGAGUGAAAAAGAACCUGAAACCAUAUGCUUACAAACAGAUGGAGCGAGCAAUCGUGACAUCGUACUUUUUGUAGAACGGGCCAACGAGUUAUGCUGUAAAGCAAGGAUAAUAAAUUAAGUUUAGCAUCCAAAGCGAAAGCGAGUCUUAAUAGGGCGAGAAGUUAUGCAGCAUAGACCCGAAACCGGGCGACCUACCCAUGAGCAGGUUGAAGUUUCAGUAACAUGAAAUGGAGGACCGAACCCACGAACGUUGAAAAGUUCGGGGAUGACUUGUGGGUAGCGGUGAAAUUCCAAUCGAGCUCGGAGAUAGCUGGUUCUCUUCGAAAUAGCUUUAGGGCUAGCGUCUUAAGAAGUGUAUAUCGGGGGUAGAGCACUGAAUGCUCUAGGGGCCGUAUAGGUUACCGAAAGCUAUCAAACUUCGAAUACCGAUAUAUGAAUAAGGCAGUCAGACUACGAGUGAUAAGAUCCGUGGUCAAGAGGGAAAAAGCCCAGAUCAACAGCUAAGGUCCCAAAAUGUAUGUUAAGUGGAAAAGGAUGUGAAAUUGCACAGACAACCAGGAUGUUGGCUUAGAAGCAGCCAUACAUUAAAAGAGUGCGUAAUAGCUCACUGGUCGAGUGGUUUUGCGCCGAAAAUUACCGGGGCUCAAACAUACUACCGAAGCUUUGAAUUCACACGCAAGUGUGAGUGGUAGAAGAGCAUCGUAUGAUAGGGAGAAGGAGGAUUGAAAAAGACUCUGGACGAAAUACGAGAGAGAAUGUUGGCAUGAGUAGCGAGAUGUGUGUGAGAAUCACACAGGCCGAAAACCCAAGGUUUUCCAAGGAAGGUUCGUCCGCUUGGAGUAAGUCGGGGCCUAAGGAGAGGCAGAAAUGCGUAUCUGAUGGAUAACAGGUUAAGAUUCCUGUACCUACGCUUAUCGCUAAAGAGGAGAAGGAAUGACGCAGGAGGAUAAGAUCAGCGCACGGUUGGAAGAGUGCGUCCAAGCAGUAAGGCAGGCAUAUAGGCAAAUCCGUAUGCUGGUAAUGUUGAGCUGUGACGGGGAGAGAAGUUAAGUAUCGAAGGAUCUGAUUUCACACUGACAGGAAAAGUUUCUAUCCAGAUAAGAGUAGCCCGUACCAAAACCGACACAGGUGGGUAAGGUGAGAAACCUAAGGCCAGCGAGAGAACUGUUGUUAAGGAACUCGGCAAAAUGACCCCGUAACUUAGGGAUAAGGGGUGCCUUAGAGAUAAGGCUUCAAGAAAAAGGCCCAAGCGACUGUUUACCAAAAACAUAGGUCUCUGCGAAACCGCAAGGUGAAGUAUAGGGGCUGACGCCUGCCCGGUGCUGGAAGGUUAAGAGGAGAUGUCAGGCAACGAAGCAUUGAAUUUAAGCCCCAGUAAACGGCGGCCGUAACUAUAACGGUCCUAAGGUAGCGAAAUUCCACAGACUCGGUGAAAUUGUAGUACCGGUGAAGAUGCCGGAAACCUGCGACAGGACGGAAAGACCCCAUGGAGCUUUACUGUAGCUUAGUAUUGAAUUUAUGUAAUUAAUGUACAGAAUAGGUGGGAGGCGAAGAGAUUAGGUCGUCAGAUUUAAAGGAGCCGCCUUUGGGAUACCACCCUUUGAUUAUGUGAGUUCUAACCGGAAUCUUUGAAGCAAGGUACGGGACAGUGCUUGGCGGACAGUUUGACUGGGGCGGUCGCCUCCCAAAGAGUAACGGAGGCGUCCAAAGGUUCCCUCAGCAUGGUCGGAAAUCAUGCGAAGAGUGCAAAGGCAAAAGGGAGCUUGAUUGCGAGACCAACAAGUCGAGCAAAGACGAAAGUCGGGCUUAGUGAUCCGGUGGUAGAAAGUGGAAUUGCCAUCGCUCAACGGAUAAAAGCUACCCUGGGGAUAACAGGCUGAUCUCCCCCAAGAGUUCACAUCGACGGGGAGGUUUGGCACCUCGAUGUCGGCUCAUCACAUCCUGGGGCUGGAGUAGGUCCCAAGGGUUGGGCUGUUCGCCCAUUAAAGUGGUACGCGAGCUGGGUUCAGAACGUCGUGAGACAGUUCGGUCCCUAUCCGUCGCAGGCGUUGGAUAUUUGAGAGGAGCUAUCCUUAGUACGAGAGGACCGGGAUGGACGCACCACUGGUGUACCAGUUGUCUUGCCAAAGGCACAGCUGGGUAGCUAUGUGCGGAUAAGAUAAGUGCUGAAGGCAUCUAAGCACGAAGCCAACCUCAAGAUAAGAUAUCCCAUACGCAAGUAGUAAGACCCCAUUAAGAACAAGUGGUAGAUAGGCAAGGAGUGGAAGUGCAGUAAUGUAUGUAGCUGACUUGUACUAAUAGGUCGAGGACUUAACCU